RNAcentral lists this ribosomal RNA (1281 nucleotides) under Triticum aestivum (bread wheat). Its description in RNAcentral is "partial small subunit ribosomal RNA". Lineage: Eukaryota; Viridiplantae; Streptophyta; Magnoliopsida; Poales; Poaceae. The record is from RNAcentral.
AUGGCUCGGCCAGCCGCGGCGUUAGCGACAGUGCUCGCACCGCUCCUCCUGCCGUCAGUGGCCGAGGCGGCAGUCGGUGGCCGGACGCCGGCACACAUUCCUCAGCUUGGGCAGGAGCUGUGGAGAAAGCCAGCAAAGUCCGCUCCGAAGGCCGUGAUCAAUCGUCCCUUCCGUGCGCCGGACAAGGACCGGCUGGGGAGCGCGGCCACCGACAACGCCGGGCUCGUCGUCUACAAGAUCUCCGUCGGCGUCGCGGAGGAGGUCUUCUCCGGCGUCGUCGACGUCGCCACCGAUUUCAUCUGGGCGCAGUGCCCGGUGUCGUCGGAUUUCACUGAAGUCUUCUGCUUCAGCCAGACUUGCCAGCUGGCGCUCGACGAGGAGGACGCCUGCGGAAACAGCACCAGCUUCACCUGCCCGUACGCGUACCAGUACGGACCGGGGAUCAGCACCACCGGCUACAUCUCCGCCGAGGAGGUCACCGCCGUCGGGACGCACAUCACCGGCCGGGCGUUGUUCGGCUGCAGCCUCGCCAGCACGGUGCCACUCGACGGCGAGUCCGGCGUUCUUGGGUUCAGCAGGGGGCCCUACUCCCUCCUGUCGCAGCUCAAGAUCUCAAGGUUCUCCUACUUCAUGCUGCCCGACGACGCCGACAAGCCUGACUCCGAGAGCGUCCUCCUCCUCGGCGACGACGCGGUGCCCCAGACCAACAGCAGCCGCUCCACGCCGCUGCUCCGGAACGAAGCGUACCCCGACCUGUACUAUGUCAAACUCACCGGCAUCAAGGUCGACGACAAGUCCCUGAGUGGCAUCCCGGCGGGGACGUUCGACCUGGCCGCCAACGGCUGCUCCGGUGGGGUGGUCAUGAGCACGCUCUCCCCCAUCACCUACCUCCAGCCGGCCGCCUACAACGCCUUGACGCGGGCGCUGGCGAGCAAGAUCAAGUCACAGCCAGUCCGCCCAAAAGCCGACGACGUGGCCGAUCUGCGGCUGUGCUACAACAUCCAGUCGGUCGCCAACCUGACGUUCCCCAAGAUCACGCUGGUGUUUCACGGCGUUGACGGCAGGCCGGCGCCCAUGGAGCUCACUACGGCGCACUACUUCAUCAGGGAAAACUCCACCGGGCUGCAGUGCCUCACCAUGCUGCCCACGCCGGCGGGCUCGCCGGUCAGCUCCGUCCUGGGAAGCCUGCUGCAGACGGGCACCCACAUGAUCUACGACCUCCGCGGCGGCUCGCUGACUUUCGAGAAGGGCGGGUCGCCGGCGGCUUCCGAGACUAUAUGA